GGGUCUGACGCCUGCCCGGUGCCAUUGAGCAAAAGCAAGGUGUGUAAGCAUCAAGUAUAAGCUUCGGUAAACGGCGGCUGUAACUCUGACGGUCCUAAGGUAGCGAAAUUCCUUGGCGGGUAAGUUCCGUCCUGCAUGAAUGGCGUAACGACUCCCCUACUGUCUCAAGCGCCGGCUCGGUGAAAUUGAAUUGCCCGUGAAGAUGCGGGCAUGUCGUGGCUAGACGGAAAGACCCUGUGCACCUUUACUAUAACCUUGCGUUGCUUUAGGCUUGUGAUUGCUCAGAAAAGGCGGGAGUUUGUGACAACAACUAAACACUAGUGAGAUACCGCCCUUUUGCAUGUCUAGGGUUUUUUGUAAGGCUGGUAGUUUGGCUGGGGUGGCCGCCUCCUAAAGAGUAACGGGGGUGCGCAAUGGUGAGCUCAACCCGAUUUUCGGGGUGAGAGCGUAAUGGUAUAAGCUCGCCUGACUGAAAGAUAUACAAAUCGAUCAGGAACGCAAGUUGGUCAUAGUGACCCGACGGUGCUGUGCGGAAAGGCCGUCGAUCAACGGAUAAAAGGUACGCCAGGGAUAACAGGCUAAUAACCCCUAAGAGACCAAAUCGCCGGGGUUGUUUGGCACCUCGAUGUCGGCUCAUCACAUCCUGGAGCUGUAGGCGGUUCCAAGGGUUCGGCUGUUCGCCGAUUAAAGUGGUACGUGAGCUGGGUUUAGAACGUUGUGAAACAGUUCGGUCCCUAUCUACCACGACAAGGAUUGCGGGUGGCCACCCUAGUACGGGAGGAUCGGGUGGCACUGGCCAAUGGUGACCAGUUGUUUUUCCAUGUAAAAUAAGCAUCGCUGGAUAGCUACGCCAGGAGGUAUAACUGCUGAAUGCAUAUAAAGCGGGAAGACCGCCCCAAAAUAU
Molecule: ribosomal RNA, 904 nt
Filed under: Bigelowiella natans
Lineage: Eukaryota; Cercozoa; Chlorarachniophyceae
Description: partial Bacterial large subunit ribosomal RNA
Rfam family: Bacterial large subunit ribosomal RNA
Source: RNAcentral